This 514-nucleotide ribosomal RNA is filed under the name uncultured microorganism. Its description in RNAcentral is "bacterial SSU rRNA". It matches the Rfam family "Bacterial small subunit ribosomal RNA", at positions 9 to 518 of the family's 1533-position model. The record is from RNAcentral.
GAGUUUGAUCAUGGCUCAGAUUGAACGCUGGCGGCAGGCCUAACACAUGCAAGUCGAGCGGAUGAAGGGAGCUUGCUCCUGGAUUCAGCGGUGGACGGGUGAGUAAUGCCUAGGAAUCUGCCUGGUAGUGGGGGAUAACGUCCGGAAACGGGCGCUAAUACCGCAUACGUCCUGAGGGAGAAAGUGGGGGAUCUUCGGACCUCACGCUAUCAGAUGAGCCUAGGUCGGAUUAGCUAGUUGGUGGGGUAAAGGCCUACCAAGGCGACGAUCCGUAACUGGUCUGAGAGGAUGAUCAGUCACACUGGAACUGAGACACGGUCCAGACUCCUACGGGAGGCAGCAGUGGGGAAUAUUGGACAAUGGGCGAAAGCCUGAUCCGGCCAUGCCGCGUGUGUGAAGAAGGUCUUCGGAUUGUAAAGCACUUUAAGUUGGGAGGAAGGGCAGUAAGUUAAUACCUUGCUGUUUUGACGUUACCAACAGAAUAAGCACCGGCUAACUUCGUGCCAGCAGCCGC